Molecule: long non-coding RNA, 450 nt
Filed under: Homo sapiens (human)
Lineage: Eukaryota; Metazoa; Chordata; Mammalia; Primates; Hominidae
Description: non-protein coding MIR34AHG:12
Source: RNAcentral
AGCAUCCAGGCAGGACGGCAGCAGCUGAGCAGAGGAGAGAGGAGGAAUGAGUCCCCCGUUCUCACCCCGGGGAGCGGUUGCCUCGUGAGUCCAAGGAGAAUCCGCCCUUUCGUUUUGCGCAGGUGGAGAUCUCGCGGGCCCAGUUCGGAGUCCUGCAAACUGUGGAGGAGAUGCCGCUGUCCCGUCGGUCUGGGGACAGCCCAGCUCCCCGGAUCCCGGGCUGGAGAGACGCGUCGCGGCCCCGGGGCCUGGUGGCACGAGCAGGAAGGAGGACCCGGCGGCGGGCUCUGCCUGGGCUUGCCUGGGCUUGUUCCGAGCCGGGCUGCUUCUCGGUGACCACGCAGAUCGGGGGCAUUUGGAGAUUUUGCGGGAGUCCUGCAGCCAAGCUCCGGGGCAGGAGAGGCCUGGAAGCCUGCACUACCUGCUCGCCCCGUCCCAGCAUGCACCCAG